GGGGAUAUAGCUCAGCUGGGAGAGCGCCUGCAUGGCAUGCAGGAGGCCGUGGGUUCGAGUCCCAUUAUCUCCA
This 73-nucleotide transfer RNA is filed under the name Clostridiales bacterium. RNAcentral's name for it is "tRNA-Ala". It matches the Rfam family "tRNA". From Rfam's summary of the family: Transfer RNA (tRNA) molecules are approximately 80 nucleotides in length. Their secondary structure includes four short double-helical elements and three loops (D, anti-codon, and T loops). Lineage: Bacteria; Bacillati; Bacillota; Clostridia; Eubacteriales. The record is from RNAcentral.